GGCCUUAUGGUCUAGAGGUACGAUACUCCGUUUGGGUCCCAUAGGGAUUGCUGAUUCGGAGUGGUCCUGGGUUCGAUUCCCAGUGAGGCCC
Non-coding RNA from Cantharellus anzutake, 91 nucleotides. NCBI's taxonomy places the organism in Eukaryota, Fungi, Basidiomycota, Agaricomycetes, Cantharellales, Hydnaceae. The record is from the annotation of a RefSeq genome assembly.